AGUGCAUGUGGUGGAUGCCUUGGCAGUCAGAGGCGAUGAAAGACGUGAUAGCCUGCGAAAAGCUCCGGGGAGGCGGCAAAUAUCCUUUGAUCCGGAGAUGUCUGAAUGGGGGAACCCACCUACUUUAAGGUAGGUAUUGCAACAUGAAUACAUAGUGUUGCAAGGCGAACGAGGGGAAGUGAAACAUCUCAGUACCCUUAGGAAAAGAAAUCAAUUGAGAUUCCCUCAGUAGCGGCGAGCGAACGGGGAUCAGCCCAUUAAGUUAUGUGUGUUUUAGUGGAACGCUCUGGGAAGUGCGAACGUAGAGGGUGAUAUUCCCGUACACGAAAGGGCACACAUAAUGAUGACGAGUAGGGCGAGGCACGUGAAACCUUGUCUGAAUAUGGGGGGACCAUCCUCCAAGGCUAAAUACUCCUGACUGACCGAUAGUGAACCAGUACCGUGAGGGAAAGGCGAAAAGAACCCCUGUGAGGGGAGUGAAAUAGAUCCUGAAACCGCAUGCAUACAAGCAGUGGGAGCACCUUCGUGGUGUGACUGCGUACCUUUUGUAUAAUGGGUCAGCGACUUAUAUUCAGUAGCGAGGUUAACCGUAUAGGGGAGCCGUAGAGAAAUCGAGUCUUAAUAGGGCGUUUAGUUGCUGGGUAUAGACCCGAAACCAGGCGAUCUAUCCAUGAGCAGGUUGAAGGUUGGGUAACACUAACUGGAGGACCGAACCCACUGUCGUUGAAAAGCCAGGGGAUGACUUGUGGAUAGGGGUGAAAGGCUAAUCAAGCCUGGUGAUAGCUGGUUCUCCCCGAAAGCUAUUUAGGUAGCGCCUCGGACGAAUACCAUAGGGGGUAGAGCACUGUUUCGGCUAGGGGGUCAUCCCGACUUACCAAACCGAUGCAAACUCCGAAUACCUAUGAGUACUAUCCGGGAGACAGACUGCGGGUGCUAACGUCCGUAGUCAAGAGGAAAACAAUCCAGACCGCCAGCUAAGGCCCCAAAAUCAUAGUUAAGUGGGAAACGAUGUGGGAAGGCAUAGACAGCUAGGAGGUUGGCUUAGAAGCAGCCACCCUUUAAAGAAAGCGUAAUAGCUCACUAGUCGAGUCGGCCUGCGCGGAAGAUGUAACGGGGCUAAAACUAUGUGCCGAAGCUGCGGAUGUAUACUUUGUAUACGUGGUAGGGGAGCGUUCUGUAAGCCGAUGAAGGUGUGUUGAGAAGCAUGCUGGAGGUAUCAGAAGUGCGAAUGCUGACGUGAGUAACGACAAAACGGGUGAAAAACCCGUUCGCCGAAAGACCAAGGGUUCCAGUCCAACGUUAAUCGGGGCUGGGUGAGUCGACCCCUAAGGCGAGGCCGAAAGGCGUAGUCGAUGGGAAAAUGGUUAAUAUUCCAUUACUUCUGUGUAAUGCGAUGAGAGGACGGAGAAGGCUAAAUCAGCCUGGCGUUGGUUGUCCAGGUGAAAGGAUGUAGGCAUGUAUCUUAGGCAAAUCCGGGGUACUCUAUGCUGAGAUCUGAUAGCAAGCUGUACUUGUACAGCGAAGUGGUUGAUGCCAUGCUUCCAGGAAAAGUCUCUAAGCUUCAGUUACACAGGAAUCGUACCCGAAACCGACACAGGUGGUCAGGUCGAGUAGACCAAGGCGCUUGAGAGAACUCUGCUGAAGGAACUAGGCAAAAUGGUACCGUAACUUCGGGAGAAGGUACGCUGUUGUUGGUGAUGGAACUCGCUUCCUGAGCUGACGACAGCCGCAGAAACCAGGCCGCUGCAACUGUUUAUUAAAAACAUAGCACUCUGCAAACACGAAAGUGGACGUAUAGGGUGUGAUGCCUGCCCGGUGCUGGAAGGUUAAUUGAUGGGGUUAGCGUAAGCGAAGCUCUUGAUCGAAGCCCCAGUAAACGGCGGCCGUAACUAUAACGGUCCUAAGGUAGCGAAAUUCCUUGUCGGGUAAGUUCCGACCUGCACGAAUGGCAUAAUGAUGGCGGCGCUGUCUCCAGCAGAGGCUCAGUGAAAUCGAAAUCGCUGUGAAGAUGCAGUGUACCCGCGGCUAGACGGAAAGACCCCGUGAACCUUUACUG
This 2056-nucleotide ribosomal RNA is filed under the name Acinetobacter baumannii 44467_3. Its description in RNAcentral is "bacterial LSU rRNA". It matches the Rfam family "Bacterial large subunit ribosomal RNA", at positions 14 to 2106 of the family's 2925-position model. The record is from RNAcentral. Lineage: Bacteria; Pseudomonadati; Pseudomonadota; Gammaproteobacteria; Moraxellales; Moraxellaceae.